UACGUAGGGUGCGAGCGUUGUCCGGAAUUAUUGGGCGUAAAGAGCUCGUAGGCGGUUUGUCACGUCUGCUGUGAAAUCCCGAGGCUCAACCUCGGGCCUGCAGUGGGUACGGGCAGACUGGAGUGCGGUAGGGGAGAAUGGAAUUCCUGGUGUAGCGGUGGAAUGCGCAGAUACCAGGAGGAACACCGAUGGCGAAGGCAGUUCUCUGGGCCGUAACUGACGCUGAGGAGCGAAAGCGUGGGGAGCGAACAGG
This 253-nucleotide ribosomal RNA is filed under the name uncultured bacterium. Its description in RNAcentral is "partial 16S ribosomal RNA". It matches the Rfam family "Bacterial small subunit ribosomal RNA", at positions 524 to 776 of the family's 1533-position model. The record is from RNAcentral.